UAGCGCCUGCAAUUUAGCAUGAUUAUGUGGUGAGAAUUGAUGAUGCUCGAGCAGACGAUAUAACUCCUUAUACUGUCCACGAUGGAAUGCAACAACGGCCUUCGCUUUCAGCACAGACUCGUUCAAUUGCAGUUUAUCACAUUGCGGUAAGGACCAUAGGAAGCGGCCCAGUCUUUCGAUGUUACCAGCUUGUUGGAGUACCUAGAACCAAUAUAAAUAUAACGAAACAAAAUAUAAAAUUAUCAAACUGUUAAUAUUUGUUAGUAACUUAAACACUUUUAUUGCCGCCUCACUUACCUCACACACGCAAGCCACUUGUUCCUGCGUGAAGCCAAAACUGGGCAACGUUUCACGCCCAUUACUGCCACCAUUCGUAUUGCUGAUAUGACCACCGCCACCACCACCGCUGAUAGGUCCAAUAAUACUGCCAUUGUGUCCCAACAUGUCUAAAUUAUUAUUGCUUGAAUUGUUGUUAUUGUUAUUGCUAAGACCUGCUCCUACGCUGAUCAAACCCGUCGGACUGUAUGGUGGCGUUUGACGCGCACUCAAUACGGCAGCAUUGGCGGCAGCCAAGUCGUAGAAAUCUGUGGCGUUUUCGAUAACAAAAAAAAACUGUUUACAAGAGUUAAUGGAGCAAGCGACGCAUUGCUUUAGUUAUUGGAAAACCUGCAAAAGAACAAAACAACACACAUACAUAUUUUAAAAGGUCAUUCAGAAAAUUCAUAUUUUUAUAUAUUUUAGAAUUAAAAAUAUUAUGUAAUGAUUUAAUAAAUGUUUUGCUAGUUUUGACUGGUGCACUUAAUACAGCUGAGCACAAAAA
Molecule: long non-coding RNA, 820 nt
Organism: Bactrocera oleae (olive fruit fly)
Lineage: Eukaryota; Metazoa; Arthropoda; Insecta; Diptera; Tephritidae
Source: RefSeq, a predicted model, not a curated record